CAGCCGCCACGGUAAUACGAAGGGUGCAAGCGUUAAUCGGAAUUACUGGGCGUAAAGCGUGCGUAGGCGGUUUGUUAAGUCUGCUGUGAAAUCCCCGGGCUCAACCUGGGAAUGGCAGUGGAUACUGGCAAGCUAGAGUGUGUCAGAGGAUGGUGGAAUUCCCGGUGUAGCGGUGAAAUGCGUAGAGAUCGGGAGGAACAUCAGUGGCGAAGGCGGCCAUCUGGGACAACACUGACGCUGAGGCACGAAAGCGUGGGGAGCAAACAGGAUUAGAUACCCCCGUAGUCCCUGUCUCUUAUAA
Molecule: ribosomal RNA, 301 nt
Filed under: uncultured bacterium
Lineage: Bacteria
Description: partial 16S ribosomal RNA
Rfam family: Bacterial small subunit ribosomal RNA
Source: RNAcentral